GGCAAUUUAAAAGUUAACUUCGAAUGUUUGGCUGAAUGAAUGAAGCCGAAGGGGACCGGGACUUGAGCCACUAUUGUCAAUGUAUAAACGCUAAGAUUAUACAAACAACUGGGACUAACCAUUUUCAAGCUUUCGCGAACAAAGAAAGUUAGAGGAGUGGGGCGAAAUGUUAGAUUAAAAACUCUCCUUCCAUGAAAAAGAAAAUAUUAAUUAUAAGAAAAGCGGGAUGAAAAUUGAGUUGAUCGGUGCGAAAAACGGGAUUCGUGAAGUUCUAUUCACUUCCGAUCCCUCUUUAAACUAUUCUUCAGGGAGUGAACAAAGAAAAUUCGAGUUCAUUAUCUGAGAAAAUGACUUAUAGAAAAGGUAUUAAGAGCUGGUCGAUUGUUUUAAUUUUUCAACCACUUGCUUCCUCUGAUUUUAGGUACUCAAGCGCUCUUGUCGAAAGGUUUCACGGAGAUUCCUACUACUGGGUAUGGACGAAUAAUCGGGCUUUCAGAUAGAAAUACAGGGAUAAUGCUGGAGAAAGAACAUCGGAUUGGAUCCAAUCCACCUGCAGUCCUUACUCAACGAGCCACAAGCAACUCUUGCAUUAGGCUGUCAAGCUGCAGUCACCUGGCUGAGAAUCGAACCCGUGACCUCCUUAUAACAAAUUCACCGUUGACAUACACUGCACCAUAAGAGGCCGACUGGUGUAGUAGAGUGGUUGAGCAUACAAGCUUAAAAUGCACGAUACAUUAUACUGCGGAGGAAAUUUUAUGGAGAGUGAAAAAUUAUACUAACGAUUAGCGUAUACAAAUACAAAAUAUGUUAAUUAAUUAAUAUUAAUAUUUGUAUCAUCAUAAUCAAUUUUAUUAUGAAAUUUUACAUUUUUUCUUUAUCUACUGUUUAUAUCACUCUCUCUUUACCCCUCCCCCCUAUACUCAUAAGGAUAAGAGGGAGGAUCAUGCAUCGAGGAGGAGCGUAUACGAAUAAAAAUUAGGACAUAUUUGUAUCAUAAUCAAUUUUACUAUGAAAUUGUACGUUUCUUCUCUACUGU
RNAcentral lists this long non-coding RNA (1036 nucleotides) under Bemisia tabaci. Its description in RNAcentral is "lncRNA ENSSSA1UGG005147". Lineage: Eukaryota; Metazoa; Arthropoda; Insecta; Hemiptera; Aleyrodidae. The record is from RNAcentral.